CCAGUAGCGUAUAUUAAAGUUGUUGCAGUUAAAAAGCUCGUAGUUGAAUUUCGGGGUCAGUAGGUUGGUCAUGCCUCCGGUAUGUACUGGUCUCACUGAUUCCUCCUUCCUGAUGAGCCGUAAUGCCAUUAAUUUGGUGUUGCGAGGAAUCUGGACUGUUACUUUGAAAAAAUUAGAGUGUUUAAAGCAGGCUAACGCUUGAAUACAUUAGCAUGGAAUAAUGAAAUAGGACGUUCGAUCUUAUUUUGUUGGUUUCUAAGAUUGACGUAAUGAUUAAUAGGGAUAGUUGGGGGGCAUUAGUAUUCAAUUGUCAGAGGUGAAAUUCUUGGAUUUAUUGAAGACUAACUACUGCGAAAGCAUUUGCCAAGGAUGUUUUCAUUAAUCAAGAACGAAAGUUAGGGGAUCGAAGACGAUCAGAUACCGUCGUAGUCUUAACCAUAAACUAUGCCGACUAGGGAUCGGAUGAUGUUAAUUUUUUAAUGACUCAUUCGGCGCCUUACG
Molecule: ribosomal RNA, 501 nt
Filed under: uncultured Glomeromycotina
Lineage: Eukaryota; Fungi; Glomeromycota
Description: partial small subunit ribosomal RNA
Rfam family: Eukaryotic small subunit ribosomal RNA
Source: RNAcentral